AAUCCUUUAACGAGGAUCUAUUGGAGGGCAAGUCUGGUGCCAGCAGCCGCGGUAAUUCCAGCUCCAAUAGCGUAUAUUAAAGUUGUUGCGGUUAAAAAGCUCGUAGUUGGAUCUGCGGUCAAGGGAAGUGGUCCUCCGACGGAUGGUUACUGCUUUUCCUGACCUAACUUCUUCGGUUUUCCCUUGAUGCUCUUUACCGAGUGUUUUGGGUGACCGAAACGUUUACUUUGAAAAAAUUAGAGUGCUCAAAGCAGUCGUACAGACUGAAUAGUGGUGCAUGGAAUAAUAAAAGAGGGUCUCGGUUCUAUUUUGUUGGUAUUGGAUUGAGAUAAUGAUCGACGGGGAUAGACGGGGGCAUUCGUAUUGCGACGUUAGAGGUGAAAUUCUUGGAUCGUCGCCAGACGAACAACUGCGAAGGCAUUUGCCAAGAAUAUGCUCUUCAAUCAAGAACGAAAGCGAGAGGCGCGAACGCGAUCAGAUACCGCGGUAGUUCUCGCCGUAAACGAUGCCAACUAGCGAUCCGCCGGAGUUAAAUGAUGACUCGGCGGGCAGCUUCCGGGAAACCAAAGUUUUUGGGUUCCGGGGGAAGUAUGGUUGCAAAGCUGAAACUUAAAGGAGUUGACGGGAGGGCACCACCAGGAGUGGAGCCUGCGGCUUAAUUUGACCCAACACGGGGAAACUCACCCGGCCCGGACACCGUAAGGAUUGACAGAUUGAGAGCUCUUUCUUGAUUCGGUGGGUGGUGGUGCAUGGCCGUUCUUAGUUGGUGGAGCGAUUUGUCUGGUUAAUUCCGAUAACGAACGAGACUCUAGCCUGCUAAAUAGACAGUGAAUCGUUAGUUCAUUGUACUACUUAGAGGGACAAGCGGCAUCUAGCUGCACGAGAUUGAGCAAUAACAGGUCUGUGAUGCCCUUAGAUGUUCGGGGCUGCACGCGCGCUACACUGAAGGAAUCAACAUGCAUUCCAACCUUACCCGAAAGGGUUUGGUAACCCGUUGAAACUCCUUCGUGAUUGGGAUAGGGACUUGCAAUUAUGGCCCUUGAACGAGGUAUUCCCAGUAAGUGCGGGUCAUCAGCUCGCGUUGAUUACGUCCCUGCCCUUUGUACACACCGCCCGUCGCUACUACCGAUUGGAUGGUAAAGUGAGUCGUAUGGACGCAUGUCGAGACGGCCUCACGGCUGCCUCGGUCGUUGCGAAAAUUCAACGAGCUUUGUCAUCUAGA
RNAcentral lists this ribosomal RNA (1222 nucleotides) under metagenome. RNAcentral describes it as "SSU rRNA". It matches the Rfam family "Eukaryotic small subunit ribosomal RNA", at positions 528 to 1777 of the family's 1831-position model. The record is from RNAcentral.